This 251-nucleotide ribosomal RNA is filed under the name uncultured bacterium. RNAcentral's name for it is "partial 16S ribosomal RNA". It matches the Rfam family "Bacterial small subunit ribosomal RNA", at positions 524 to 776 of the family's 1533-position model. The record is from RNAcentral.
UACGUAGGCAGCAAGCGUUGUUCGGAAUUACUGGGCGUAAAGAGUGUGUAGGCGGUGCUCUAAGUUUGGUGUGAAAUCUCCCGCUUAACUGGGAGGGUGCGCCGAAAACUGGAAUGCUUGAACAUGGGAGAGGAAAGCGGAAUUCCUGGUGUAGCGGUGAAAUGCGUAGAUAUCAGGAGGAACACCUGCGGUGUAGACGGCUUUCUGGACCAUUGUUGACGCUGAGACACGAAGCGUGGGGAUCAAACAGG